UGUCCUCUUGGGGCUAUGCAGAAAUGUUCAUGUUGAUGAAACAAGCUGUCCUAGAAUGGCAGUUCCCGGGCAGCAGAGCCUGGGCUCAAGGAAGGUGGAAAGAUGGGGUGGCGAGGAGCUGCCAGGUGCAAAUGUCAGGCCAGCAAUGCAGUCCAGCUUGCAUGGACGUGCAUCACCUAGGAAGUUGUGACUUGGCUGCAGUUUCCACUUCAGGCUACAGAGUGCAGUGGCACCAGCACAGAGCUCUGCUCAACGUUCCUCUGUGCUUUCACGAUGCUGAUGGAUUAUGAAG
RNAcentral lists this long non-coding RNA (292 nucleotides) under Pongo abelii (Sumatran orangutan). RNAcentral's name for it is "lincRNA". Lineage: Eukaryota; Metazoa; Chordata; Mammalia; Primates; Hominidae. The record is from RNAcentral.